RNAcentral lists this ribosomal RNA (489 nucleotides) under uncultured bacterium. RNAcentral describes it as "partial 16S ribosomal RNA". It matches the Rfam family "Bacterial small subunit ribosomal RNA", at positions 30 to 506 of the family's 1533-position model. The record is from RNAcentral.
AUUGAACGCUGGCGGCAGGCCUAACACAUGCAGGUCGAACGGUAACAGGAAGAAGCUUGCUUCUUUGCUGACGAGUGGCGGACGGGUGAGUAAUGUCUGGGAAACUGCCUGAUGGAGGGGGAUAACUACUGGAAACGGUAGCUAAUACCGCAUAACGUCGCAAGACCAAAGAGGGGGACCUUCGGGCCUCUUGCCAUCGGAUGUGCCCAGAUGGGAUUAGCUAGUAGGUGGGGUAACGGCUCACCUAGGCGACGAUCCCUAGCUGGUCUGAGAGGAUGACCAGCCACACUGGAACUGAGACACGGUCCAGACUCCUACGGGAGGCAGCAGUGGGGAAUAUUGCACAAUGGGCGCAAGCCUGAUGCAGCCAUGCCGCGUGUAUGAAGAAGGCCUUCGGGUUGUAAAGUACUUUCAGCGGGGAGGAAGGGAGUAAAGUUAAUACCUUUGCUCAUUGACGUUACCCGCAGAAGAAGCACCGGCUAACUCCGU